CGGUAAACGGCGGCCGUAACUAUAACGGUCCUAAGGUAGCGAAAUUCCUUGUCGGGUAAGUUCCGACCUGCACGAAUGGCGUAAUGAUGGCCAGGCUGUCUCCACCCGAGACUCAGUGAAAUUGAACUCGCUGUGAAGAUGCAGUGUACCCGCGGCAAGACGGAAAGACCCCGUGAACCUUUACUAUAGCUUGACACUGAACAUUGAGCCUUGAUGUGUAGGAUAGGUGGGAGGCUUUGAAGUGUGGACGCCAGUCUGCAUGGAGCCGACCUUGAAAUACCACCCUUUAAUGUUUGAUGUUCUAACGUUGACCCGUAAUCCGGGUUGCGGACAGUGUCUGGUGGGUAGUUUGACUGGGGCGGUCUCCUCCUAAAGAGUAACGGAGGAGCACGAAGGUUGGCUAAUCCUGGUCGGACAUCAGGAGGUUAGUGCAAUGGCAUAAGCCAGCUUGACUGCGAGCGUGACGGCGCGAGCAGGUGCGAAAGCAGGUCAUAGUGAUCCGGUGGUUCUGAAUGGAAGGGCCAUCGCUCAACGGAUAAAAGGUACUCCGGGGAUAACAGGCUGAUACCGCCCAAGAGUUCAUAUCGACGGCGGUGUUUGGCACCUCGAUGUCGGCUCAUCACAUCCUGGGGCUGAAGUAGGUCCCAAGGGUAUGGCUGUUCGCCAUUUAAAGUGGUACGCGAGCUGGGUUUAGAACGUCGUGAGACAGUUCGGUCCCUAUCUGCCGUGGGCGCUGGAGAACUGAGGGGGGCUGCUCCUAGUACGAGAGGACCGGAGUGGACGCAUCACUGGUGUUCGGGUUGUCAUGCCAAUGGCACUGCCCGGUAGCUAAAUGCGGAAGAGAUAAGUGCUGAAAGCAUCUAAGCACGAAACUUGCC
RNAcentral lists this ribosomal RNA (878 nucleotides) under Escherichia coli. RNAcentral describes it as "partial 23S ribosomal RNA". It matches the Rfam family "Bacterial large subunit ribosomal RNA", at positions 1921 to 2798 of the family's 2925-position model. Lineage: Bacteria; Pseudomonadati; Pseudomonadota; Gammaproteobacteria; Enterobacterales; Enterobacteriaceae. The record is from RNAcentral.